This 459-nucleotide ribosomal RNA is filed under the name uncultured bacterium. RNAcentral's name for it is "partial 16S ribosomal RNA". It matches the Rfam family "Bacterial small subunit ribosomal RNA", at positions 338 to 795 of the family's 1533-position model. The record is from RNAcentral.
CCUACGGGUGGCAGCAGUGAGGAAUAUUGGUCAAUGGCCGGAAGGCUGAACCAGCCAAGCCGCGUGAAGGACGAAGGUGCCAAGCAUUGUAAACUUCUUUUGUCAAGGGACAAAAUCAGGCUCGAGAGCCUGACCGAGGGUACUUGAAGAAACAGCAUCGGCUAACUCCGUGCCAGCAGCCGCGGUAAUACGGAGGAUGCGGGCGUUAUCCGGAUUUAUUGGGUUUAUGGGGUGCGUAGGCGGGCUGUUAAGUCAGCGGUAAAAGCCCGGGGCUCAACCCCGGCGAGCCGUUGAAACUGGCUGUCUUGAGAUGUCGAGAGGUAUGCGGAAUGCGCAGUGUAGCGGUGAAAUGCGUAGAUAUUAGGAGGAACACCAGUGGCGAAGGCGGCCUACUGGACGGUGACUGACGCUGAGGCUCGAAAGCGUGGGGAGCAAACAGGAUUAGAUACCCCUGUAGUC